RNAcentral lists this ribosomal RNA (448 nucleotides) under uncultured bacterium. RNAcentral describes it as "partial 16S ribosomal RNA". It matches the Rfam family "Bacterial small subunit ribosomal RNA", at positions 328 to 793 of the family's 1533-position model. The record is from RNAcentral.
GGUCCAGACUCCUACGGGAGGCAGCAGUGGGGGAUAUUGCACAAUGGGGGAAACCCUGAUGCAGCGACGCCGCGUGGGUGAAGAAGCGCCUCGGCGCGUAAAGCUCUAUCAGCAGGGAAGAAAAUGACGGUACCUGACUAAGAAGCCCCGGCUAACUACGUGCCAGCAGCCGCGGUAAUACGUAGGGGGCAAGCGUUAUCCGGAAUUACUGGGUGUAAGGGGAGCGCAGACGGCAGUGCAAGUCAGAAGUGAAAGCCCGGGGCUCAACUCCGGGACUGCUUUUGAAACUGUACAGCUUGAUUGCAGGAGAGGCAAGUGGAAUUCCUAGUGUAGCGGUGAAAUGCGUAGAUAUCAGGAGGAACACCGGCGGCGAAGGCGGCCUGCUGGACCGUAACUGACGUUGAGGCUCGAAAGCGUGGGGAGCAAACAGGAUUAGAUACCCUCGUAC